This 1074-nucleotide ribosomal RNA is filed under the name Boana pulchella (Montevideo treefrog). RNAcentral describes it as "partial 16S ribosomal RNA". It matches the Rfam family "Bacterial large subunit ribosomal RNA", at positions 845 to 2597 of the family's 2925-position model. Lineage: Eukaryota; Metazoa; Chordata; Amphibia; Anura; Hylidae. The record is from RNAcentral.
AUAGCUGGUUACUUGAUAAAAGAAUUUUAGUUCUACCUAAAGCCCAAAUAAAGUUUUGUAAACUAACAUUUAUGCUUUAGAGUUAUUCAAAUAAGGUACAGCCUAUUUGAAUAAGGAGACAACCUAAACUAAUGGGUAAGACAUCUACAGUGUAUUAAAGUGGGCCUAAAAGCAGCCACCUUCAAUAAUAGCGUCAAAGCUUACCUACACAAGUACAUUCAAUUUUUUAUCCUAAUCCAAACCCUUUAUUUUCAUCAAGUAAUUCUAUAUAUCUAUAGAACAUAAAAUGUUAAAACUAGUAACAAGAAGUAAACCCUUCUCUUAAAUGCAAGUGUAGGCCAGGAAGGAUAAACCACUGUCAAUUAACACCAAUGAUUUUCAAUUAACAACACCACAAGAGAACCCUAAUAAAACAAAUGUUAAACUAACACAAGAGCAUUUCAAGAAAGAUUAAAAGAAAAAGAAGGAACUCGGCAAACACCAACCCCGCCUGUUUACCAAAAACAUCGCCUCUUGACAAAUAUAAGAGGUCCAGCCUGCCCAGUGACCUAGUUCAACGGCCGCGGUAUCCUAACCGUGCGAAGGUAGCGUAAUCACUUGUUCUUUAAAUGGGGACUAGUAUGAAUGGCAUCACGAGGGUUACACUGUCUCCUUUUUUUGAUCAGUGAAACUAAUCUUCCCGUGAAGAAGCGGGAAUAUCUUUAUAAGACGAGAAGACCCUAUGGAGCUUUAAACAAAUUAACACCUGCUGCCCGAGAUUAUUCUUUCAGAAAUAUAAAACAUAGCAUAGCAUGAUGAUUAAUAGUUUUUGAUUGGGGUGAUCACGGAGUAAAAAACAACCUCCAUGCCGAAAGGGAUUUUACCCUGAGCAAAAAACCACAAUUUUAAGCACUAAAAAAUUAACGUUUAUUGACCCAGUAUAAUGAUCAACGAACCAAGUUACCCUAGGGAUAACAGCGCAAUCCACUUCAAGAGCUCCUAUCGACAAGUGGGUUUACGACCUCGAUGUUGGAUCAGGGUAUCCCAGUGGUGCAGCCGCUACUAACGGUUCGUUUGUUCAACGAUUAAAACCCU